This is an RNA transcript of Cimex lectularius (bed bug), 1096 nucleotides long. It is a transcript of the gene named putative gustatory receptor 28b, with no coding region annotated. NCBI's taxonomy places the organism in Eukaryota, Metazoa, Arthropoda, Insecta, Hemiptera, Cimicidae. The transcript has 4 exons. The record is from RefSeq and is a predicted model, not a curated record.
CACAAGGUUAUCAAAAAAGCAAUAUUUAUCCCCAAAUUGUUCGGCUGUUUCCCCCUUGAUUUAAAGAACAAUGAAUUCGUUGUUUCUAAAAAGUUAGUAUUAUAUAUUUUUUUGAUGUUUCCGACGCUUUGGACAGGGGUGAUUUACAAUGUUUCAAAUCGGCUGGACACCAACGAUGCCAUGUGGCUCGAUUUCUUGCUUUUCGGGAUUCGCAUGUUCGGAGUUUUAUUUGCUGAAACGAUUUCAAUAAUUUGGUUCAUUAUAUAUAAAAAGCACUUCACCAGUUUCCUAAUCGAAUUGCAAAAACUUGAAUUUAUUUUUAAAAAGCUCGGCUUUCCCUGCAAUAUGACGAUGUCUUACAGAAAGCACGUGGUAAGCUUUCUCCUAAUAACAGUCGCAUUUAUCGCCAACUUUUUGAUUAGGAGAAUCACGGUUUUCCGUACGGUACAACAAAUAUUCUCUUACGUAGUACCGUUCAUUCUGUCAAUAAUGGUAUUGAUGUUUAAUGAAUUCGUCGAAAUACUCACCUACCAAUUCAAAACAAUGUGCACUAUCGUAUCGUCGUCGAAAGAAUGCGUAUACCCGCACAGGAAAAUAGAAAUUCUCCUACAGUGCCAGGACGUUUUGGAAUCUGCAGCGACCCAGUUAAACAAGGCCUUCUCUCCUUUGCUACUGCUAUUGAUCGUCAUCACUUUCGCGAGGGCUACGCUCGGAAUUUACAAUUUUCUCAUUAUAAGCGGAAGCAAAGUCAUGGACAUAACGGGGACGUCUUUUAUGAUCAUAGUGUACAUUGCAAUGACAAUAAAUAUGAUAAACAUCAUCACAAAGCUUUUGCGAGAGUCUGAAGCGUUUGACAAGGCGAUUUAUUCCCUCAUUGUAUUUGACGACACAAACACACAUGCAACAAAUGUAACCUAAGCUUUCACAAUAUCUAACAGGGAGGAAGAAAAUCCGUUUCACAGCGUUCGACUUGUUUGAAAUCAAUUUCAGCGUUCUUGGCCAAAUGGUGGCAACAGGCUUCACGUAUCUUAUCAUUGUAGUCCAACUUGACGCUGGUAAAUAAUAAAUUUAUUUAACUAAUAAAAGAUAUUCUAUU